RNAcentral lists this ribosomal RNA (540 nucleotides) under bacterium enrichment culture clone SRB-7. RNAcentral's name for it is "partial 16S ribosomal RNA". It matches the Rfam family "Bacterial small subunit ribosomal RNA", at positions 1 to 512 of the family's 1533-position model. The record is from RNAcentral.
GGCCGCGGGAAUUCGAUUGGAUCGCCCUUAGAGUUUGAUCAUGGCUCAGAUUGAACGCUGGCGGCAUGCCUUACACAUGCAAGUCGAACGGCAGCACGGACUUCGGUCUGGUGGCGAGUGGCGAACGGGUGAGUAAAGCAUCGGAACGUGCCCGAUCGUGGGGGAUAACGCAGCGAAAGCUGCGCUAAUACCGCAUAAGAUCUACGGAUGAAAGCGGGGGACUCGCAAGAGCCUCGCGCGAACGGAGCGGCCGAUGUCAGAUUAGGUAGUUGGUGGGGUAAAAGCCCACCAAGCCGACGAUCUGUAGCUGGUCUGAGAGGACGACCAGCCACACUGGGACUGAGACACGGCCCAGACUCCUACGGGAGGCAGCAGUGGGGAAUUUUGGACAAUGGGCGCAAGCCUGAUCCAGCCAUGCCGCGUGCAGGAAGAAGGCCUUCGGGUUGUAAACUGCUUUUGUACGGAACGAAAAAGCCCUGGUUAAUACCUAGGGCUGAUGACGGUACCGUAAGAAUAAGCACCGGCUAACUCCGUGCCAGC